UUUUUUUUUUUUGGAAGCCUCUUGCUUGUACUUCCUGUUUUAUUAGGUUGAGCCUCCCUAAUCGCAAAGUCCAAAAUUCAAAUAUCGCCUACAUCUGAAGGUGUUUGAGAGCCGUCAUGAUGCAACAAGUGGGAAGUGUCUGCAUCUGAGGCCAUGUGACGAGUCAGUCAGAACGCAAGCACACCACAAAUACGGCACAAAAGGACCCUCAGCCUGUGCUGUAAGCAUUGGUGUAGCAAUGGGUAACAGUCUUCACGUAACAACAGCAAACUACGUAGCUACAUGUUGUGACAGUAUGGGUUAAAAUCGAGAGUCACUGUGGAGCCUGAGCUUGCUUCUUUCUCACCAGAUCAGAAAUUCUUGGGACAGCCUUUGCAAGAGCACAGUGAAGAUCCUCUUCCACAACAAGUCUACCUUUGUAUUAGACUCGAUAACCAGCAAGCUGAAUAACCCUGUUUCACAAAGAUAUGUUGUUGGAAGAGGAAGAGAAGGCACAACACAGUCUCAGACAGAAUGGGAUAUGACUGCUAACACUUGAUUCAGAAUCUUCUAAUUGGCAUCGCAGAGAAAUAAGUUUUCACUGCAUUGCUGUGGAAUAGUCCUUUACACUGUGUGAAUAUAUGUUACUGUGAUUGGUUUAAUAAAGAAGCUGAAACCGGGCAGUGGUGGCACACACCUUUA
Molecule: non-coding RNA, 681 nt
Organism: Peromyscus maniculatus bairdii (prairie deer mouse)
Lineage: Eukaryota; Metazoa; Chordata; Mammalia; Rodentia; Cricetidae
Source: RefSeq, a predicted model, not a curated record